Molecule: long non-coding RNA, 1347 nt
Filed under: Felis catus (domestic cat)
Lineage: Eukaryota; Metazoa; Chordata; Mammalia; Carnivora; Felidae
Description: lncRNA (ENSFCAG00000049088.1)
Source: RNAcentral
CAGUUGCAUGGGGCUGGAUGAGGGAUGAACCGUGUUCCAGCUAAGCUGACCCUGGAAAGAUUGGGCUGGGUCAGGGCAUGCUGAGUCGUGAAGGACAGGGGAGGCGAUCUGAUUCCUUCCUUACCUCCAGACCUCUCCCUGCUGAGUGUGCUUGUCAGAAAUCGCCUUCCUCGUGCUGCCUCAUUCCAUUCGCUCGUGAACAUCCACUGGCGACAAAAUCCAAGGAGGAAAAUGCGUGCCAAGAAAGAUACAGUGUUUUGAGAACUGAGGGAGAGGGGAUGAAUAAACGAACAACGGAUGAGUGUGGAGGAGUUGACAAGGAGGUCGAAAGAGCGAGAGGAGACUGACAGGAUACACUCCGUGAGCCCGACGGACCCCCCUCCCAGAGCGCGCACCCGAUUUCCCAGUGUCAUCAGAGAGCGGCCUACAGCGUCAUAGGGUUUGCUUUUGGCACGAGAGAAAGGUCUGGAAGAAUCUCGGAGGUCCUCGGGGCCAAAUCCUUCAGGAUACAGUUAUGUGGACCUUGGUGCCUCAAAGUCAGCAGAUCCAAAAUACUAAACAGCCUGCCCUCCUUCUGCGCACGUUUCGUCUGUCACAGAACAUCAGCAACUCGGCUGGAAAUCGGGGAGAUGUUGGGGGAUCUACCCCCACGCUUGAUUCUUCUCUCUGGUCACUCCUCUGUCCCCCUCUGUUUCUGCUCCUCCCCUCCGCUCAGGGCUUCUUGGAUCCUUUACUGAAAACUUGGCGCGUUCCUUCUAGUGAACGCAAUGUGUGCCCUUAGGGAGGAGGGACCCAGAAGGAGGGACCACAGCGCCAAAGGUGCAGAGAAGAAUGAGGUCUGGGAAAGGUCGAUACGCAGGGCGAUAGGAGGCCACUUUGGCUGUGGUCUACAUUGGUAGUUUUUGUCCAAAGUGCAGUUUGAGUCAGGGUUAUACUAAAAUAUCUCCGCACGCGGUGACAGAGACUUGGACAUCCAUCGGCACGAGCAUCAGAUCCGAAAGGAUUAAGUCUCCAGCCCACGCCUUUUAUUUUGCAGAAAUGGAAAUUGGGUCCAAAGAACUAAGUGCCUUGCCCCAGACACAGCAGAGCCUAGAACCUCAGGGUCCCCGAGUCCCACAGAGCGUAAUGUUUUUUUUCCCCCACGAAAUCAGUGGUUCUCGGCGUGAUUCAUAUUAGAAUCACUGGAGAGCUUUUUACAAAAACACCUAAGUCUGUCUUUCCCCCAGGGAUUCUGACGUGCCAGGCCUUGGAUCGAGCUCAGCUAGAGCUCAGACCUCUUUUUCUUUCCCCCCUUUAUUUUUAACCUCAGUUGAGAACAGCUGGGCAAGAACUGGACCCCCCCCCCCU